Molecule: non-coding RNA, 966 nt
Organism: Pelecanus crispus (Dalmatian pelican)
Lineage: Eukaryota; Metazoa; Chordata; Aves; Pelecaniformes; Pelecanidae
Source: RefSeq, a predicted model, not a curated record
CUUAAUAGAGAAGAAAAUCACGUUAUUCGGACCUUGACUUUGAAAAGGUCAUGCAUACAAGAAAGAGGCACAUGGAAUUGUUUCAAGAGUUAAAUCAGAAAUUUCAGACACUGGACAGAUUUCGGGAUGUACCAAAAUCAGGCAGUAUGGAGAACUCAGCACCGAACAAGGCUCCAUGGGACAGUUUCAAAACCACAGGCGACUACCAACACUAUACAACGAUAAAUGUAUUAGACACAGAGGCAAAAGAUGCUUUAGAACUCAGACCAGCAGAAUGGGAGAAGUGUCUGAACUUGCCUUUAGAUGUGCAAGAAGGUGACUUUCAAACAGAAGUUUAACAAAAAUGAAAACGAACUGAACAAAACAAAAACAAAACAAAAAUAAUUCAUUGCACUGACAAUAAAGAGACUUUGGGAAUCCUGACGCUCCUGUUUGAACAUUGUGACUACUUUAUGUCAGGCUCUUCCUGUGCCGAAUGUCAGUGGUUUUUUUCGUACAGUAUAUUCCCACUAGUGCGGCUAGUGGAGAACCAGGUGUACAAUUCUUACCAUCGUGUGUUGUAAGUACCCGUGGAAUGGAUUUGUAAGGUAAUCUUUAUAGAUAAACCUCAAGCAACGAUUCAUGUUGUAACAGCUUCAUUUGGUUUAGUUUUCAAAAAACUUCACCAUGAAGCACAAUGUAUAUAUUUAUGCAGUUUUUAAAGUUUAUAACAGUCUGUUUGGCCAUUACUACACUUUUUACUUUAUAAUAUAAAAGCAAAGUUUUUGUCAUUAAAUGAAUGUCUGUUGAGCUACAUUCUUCAUUGCUUUAAAUGCAAUAAAGUAAUAAUCUCACUUUUAUAUGAAUAAUAUAUUUCACAUCUUUAUUAUUGCAGUUUUCUCUGGAAAGCUCAGAGUAGCUUUCUCUGCUGCAGCUGUGUAUAAAAUAUUUAAAAUGUUGUAUGGUGUAAAUAAACCUUUGUCUACA